This is a long non-coding RNA of Anolis carolinensis (green anole), 2736 nucleotides long. The record is from Ensembl. NCBI's taxonomy places the organism in Eukaryota, Metazoa, Chordata, Lepidosauria, Squamata, Anolidae.
AUGAUUAGAAACUGGGGAAGGCAGAUCUGCACAGAGUCAUUCCACAACCGGGACCUCCUGCUCUUUGAGGCAAUGCUCCUGUUCUUUAAACUUUGGGAAUGCAGCAAAGGUUGGAGAAAUCCUAACCCAGCUGCAAUUUGGCUGGGAUGGAGGCUGGAAGCGGAAACCAUAAUGCAAACUGCUAGCAUGGGACCAUCUGGCUGUAUUGACUGCACUGCCAGUAAGGCAGCUGCUCGGAAGCCUUUUUCACUGCAUCUCUGCAAAAAAGAGGUACCUGGAGCCACUAAGAAGAUUUUAUAGCAGAUGAAGAAAUUCCUACGUUUGGCACUUGGACAAAGGCAUCUAACAUUGUCUAACUAUUAUUUUUCUUCAAGUUUAUCUGUCUGCCUAUUGCAUGUUUUGCAGUUCAGAAAUAUAGCUCUAACUAGGGCCUCAUCUACUGCCCUAUAAUGUAAUUUGAGAUUGCAUUAUAUAAACGUAGACUCAUAUAAUGCAGUUCGAAGUAGUUUUUAUUUAUUGUGUCAGAAGCGAAUUGAGGAUACAGUUAUAAUCUAUUUUUAAAAACACAAAGUUAAAAACUUGACAUUAUACUAGAUUUUCUUUGACCAGAAGCUGGCCACUUGGAGUGCCUCUGGUAUUUCUAUAAGAAGGUCCUCCAUUGUACAUGUGGCAGGGCUAAGACCACAUUGUAGUAGGUGGUCUGUGGUUUACUCUUCUCCACACUCACACAUCGUAGAGUCCACUUUGUGGCCCCAUUUCUUAAGAUUGACACUGCAUCUCGUGGUGCCAGAGCACAGUCUGUUCAGCGCCUUCAAAGUCGCCCAAUCUUCUGUGUGCCCAGGAGGGAGUCUCUCAUCCAAUCUCAGCCGUGGAUUGAGGCUCUGGGUUUUAACUUGCCAUUUUUGGACUCUUGUUUGCUGAGGUGUUCCUGUGAUUAUCUCUGUAGAUCUUAGAAAGCUAAUUCUUGAUUUAAGGCGUUGGCAUGCUGGCUGAUAUCCAAACUGAGGAUGGGCCAGAGAUGUCAAUGCCUCGGUUCUUUCAUUACAGGUUGCUACAUCCCGAUGGAUGUCAGGUGGUGCAAUACUGGCUAAACAGUAUAAUUUCUCCAGUGGUGUAGGGUGUAGACAUCCUGUGCUAAUGUGGCAUGUCUCAUUAAGAGCCACAUCCACUGUUUUAACGUGGUGAGAUGUAUUCCACACUGGGCAUGCGUACUCAGCAGCAGAGUAGCAAAGCGUAAGAACAGAUGUCUUCACUGUGUUUGAUUGUGAAACCCAGGUUCUGCCAGACAACUUUCGUAUGAUAUUGUUUCUAGCACACACUUUUUGCUUGAUAAUCAAGUAGUGCUCCAUUAUAUGACUCUACAUUGACUCAGCAUUACCUGACAGUGUAGCUGGGGCUGAAAGAUGCAACCUGUGUGCCUGUUGACUUAUGGUGAUCUCUUGAAUUUCACAGGACUCUGUUAGGUAAGGAGGACUCGGAGUUGGUUCCUUCCUCCAAAAUAUAUCCUACUUAGUAUUUGUUGGUGGUCUCUCACACAAGUACUAAUGAGGGCCAACCUUCUUAGCAUCCAGGAUCAGACAGAUUUGUUACUUUUAAGGUACACAAGGGUAUAAAGACAGAGCUUGAAAAGGACACUUACUCUCAGAAUCCUAGUGGUCACACUAGAUGAGGGAUCAAAGGAACUGCUGUCCAUAAAAAGGAACUUUUCAAAGUUCUGUCGAUCACCUAGAAAACUAGCUGCUAUAGAUCUUCUAUUCUCAUACAACAGGGGAAAAAAACUUUAGUUGAGUUUUUCUUGAUUAAUACUGAGUAGGAGGAUAAUACCCAAAUAUCCAAAAAGCACCAGAUCUCAGCUGAUCUGGGAAGCUAAGCAGGGUUAGCCAUGGUUAGUACUUGGAUGGGAGACUGUCAAUAAAUAUCAGAUGCUCUGACUAUGUUUGAGAGGAAGGAUUGGACAAAACCACUUCUGAGUAUUCCUUGACUAAGAAAGCUUCAUGAAAUGCAUGAAGUUGGCAUAAGUCAGCAGCAACUGGAAAGCACACACACGUACACAAAUUCUCACCACCUUUUUACAACUAAUUAAUUCCCAUUCAGAUGGCAUUUCUAUAACUGCUAGUAGUCAUUCACAGUUAUAAAAGAAAUGCCUUUUACAUAUUCAGCAUACAAAAGCAUGGAGACAAUUACAUCUUCCCAACAGCAUUUACAUUGUUAUCUACCUAUUGUGCUUGUUACGAUUGCAAGGUUACAAUUGCAAGGAGACUGGACGUGUUUCUUUUAACAUUUUCGCACGAGGCCCAAUUAGGAGAGGGGGACUUUAUAAAGCAUAAUCAUUUUGUUUCUAUCGGCUUGUGGAAAUUCCUUGCCCAGAGUGGUUCUCUUUGACUUUCCAGAAUGAAAAAAAUGAAAAAAUAAAAAUAAAAGCAAAGCUGUCAAAACAGAUUAUUUCAAGUGUUUAGUCUGAGACGAGAGCAUCACAUGAAACAGACAUUGAUAGGAAUGAAGUGGGAAAGCGGACCACACAUUAAACUGGGGGGGGGGGGGGAAUCCAGUUUUGGAUGAUCCUUUAUAAUAUUUUCAGUUUCAAAUUAUCCUCUGCAAUACCUCCCCUCUGAAGCAGAGAACUAAAUAUAUAUCUCGAUUAAUGAAUAAUUCCUGGGCAUUAUUUCUUUAAUGGAAAUUAUGAUACCAGCAGCAGAAAUCAUGUAGGAAGAAGAGGGAGCGUUUCCUGCAGCACAG